CCAGACUCCUACGGGAGGCAGCAGUGGGGAAUAUUGCACAAUGGGGGAAACCCUGAUGCAGCAACGCCGCGUGAGUGAAGAAGUAUUUCGGUAUGUAAAGCUCUAUCAGCAGGGAAGAAGAUGACGGUACCUGAGUAAGAAGCCCCGGCUAACUACGUGCCAGCAGCCGCGGUAAUACGUAGGGGGCAAGCGUUAUCCGGAUUUACUGGGUGUAAAGGGAGCGUAGACGGUGAGACAAGUCUGAAGUGAAAGCCCGGGGCUCAACCCCGGGACUGCUUUGGAAACUGCCUGACUGGAGUGCUGGAGAGGCAAGCGGAAUUCCUGGUGUAGCGGUGAAAUGCGUAGAUAUCAGGAGGAACACCGGUGGCGAAGGCAGCAUGCCGGCUUCCGACUGACGCUGAAGCACGAAAGCGUGGGGAUCGAACAGGAUUAGAUACCCCAGUA
This 444-nucleotide ribosomal RNA is filed under the name uncultured bacterium. RNAcentral's name for it is "partial 16S ribosomal RNA". It matches the Rfam family "Bacterial small subunit ribosomal RNA", at positions 331 to 792 of the family's 1533-position model. The record is from RNAcentral.